Molecule: ribosomal RNA, 210 nt
Filed under: Hemiselmis rufescens
Lineage: Eukaryota; Cryptophyceae; Cryptomonadales; Hemiselmidaceae
Description: partial Bacterial large subunit ribosomal RNA
Rfam family: Bacterial large subunit ribosomal RNA
Source: RNAcentral
CGAGUGUAAGUGCACAAGGGAGCUUGACUGUGAGAGGGACACCUCGAGCAGGGACGAAAGUCGGGACUAGUGAUCUGACGGUGGCAUGUGGAAGCGCCGUCACUCAACGGAUAAAAGGUACCCCGGGGAUAACAGGCUGAUCUUCCCCAAGAGUCCAUAUCGACGGGAUGGUUUGGCACCUCGAUGUCGGCUCGUCGCAUCCUGGGGCUG